AUGAACGCUAGCUACAGGCUUAACACAUGCAAGUCGAGGGGCAGCACAGUGUAGCAAUACAUGGGUGGCGACCGGCGCACGGGUGCGUAACGCGUAUCCAACCUUCCCGUUACUCAGGGAUAGCCUUCCGAAAGGGAGAUUAAUACCUGAUGGUAUCAGAAUUUCGCAUGUUAUUUGAACUAAAGAUUUAUCGGUAACGGAUGGGGAUGCGUACCAUUAGAUAGUAGGCGGGGUAACGGCCCACCUAGUCUACGAUGGUUAGGGGUUCUGAGAGGAAGGUCCCCCACACUGGAACUGAGACACGGUCCAGACUCCUACGGGAGGCAGCAGUGAGGAAUAUUGGUCAAUGGCCGUAAGGCUGAACCAGCCAAGUAGCGUGAAGGAUGAAGGUUCUAUGGAUUGUAAACUUCUUUUAUACGGGAAUAACACCAUCUACGUGUAGAUGUCUGCAUGUACCGUAUGAAUAAGCAUCGGCUAACUCCGUG
RNAcentral lists this ribosomal RNA (485 nucleotides) under uncultured bacterium. RNAcentral's name for it is "bacterial SSU rRNA". It matches the Rfam family "Bacterial small subunit ribosomal RNA", at positions 29 to 507 of the family's 1533-position model. The record is from RNAcentral.